UUAGGAAUAUUCGUCAAUGGGGGAAACCCUGAACGAGCAAUGCCGCGUGAGUGAUGAAGGCCCUAUGGGUUGUAAAACUCUGUUGUAAAGGAAGAACACCUAGUAUAGGAAAUGAUGCUAGGCUGACGGUACUUUACCAGAAAGCCCCGGCUAACUACGUGCCAGCAGCCGCGGUAAUACGUAGGGGGCGAGCGUUAUCCGGAUUUAUUGGGCGUAAAGGGUGCGUAGGCGGUAUGUUAAGUCUAAAAUCAAAGCCCGAGGCUUAACCUCGGUUCGUUUUAGAAACUGGCAAACUAGAGUGCAGUAGAGGCAAGUGGAAUUUCUAGUGUAGCGGUUAAAUGCGUAGAUAUUAGAAGGAACACCAGUGGCGAAGGCGGCUUGCUGGGCUGUUACUGACGCUGAGGCACGAAAGCGUGGGGAGCAAAUAGG
RNAcentral lists this ribosomal RNA (429 nucleotides) under uncultured bacterium. RNAcentral describes it as "bacterial SSU rRNA". It matches the Rfam family "Bacterial small subunit ribosomal RNA", at positions 355 to 776 of the family's 1533-position model. The record is from RNAcentral.